GACGAACGCUGGCGGCGUGCUUAACACAUGCAAGUCGAGCGGAAAGACCCUGCUUUUGCGGGGUGCUCGAGUGGCGAACGGGGGAGUAACACGCGAGUAACCUCCCCUUGACUGUCGGAUAACUUCAGGAAACUGGGGCUAAUACCGGAGAGGAGCUCCUGCUGCAUGGGGGGGGAUGGAAAGUUUCGGCUGUUGGGGAUGGUCUCGCGGGUUAUCAGCUGGUUUGGGGGGUAGUGGCGGCCCAAGGCUUUGAAGGGUAGCCGGCCUGAGAGGGUGGCCGGCGUCAUUGGGCCUGCGGGAGGGACCAGACUCGUACGGGACGCAGCGGUGGGAAAUAUUGCGCAAUGGGCGGAAGCCUGAUGUAGAGGCGCCGCGUGCGUAAUGCUGGCUUAUGGGUUGUAAACAACUUUGGACUGUGCCGAGGCGUGAGUGACGGUAAUGAGUAAAGAAGCACCGGCUAACUACGUG
Molecule: ribosomal RNA, 468 nt
Filed under: uncultured bacterium
Lineage: Bacteria
Description: partial 16S ribosomal RNA
Rfam family: Bacterial small subunit ribosomal RNA
Source: RNAcentral